UACUAGGAAAGUGUGCAUGCCACUAUUGUA
This 30-nucleotide non-coding RNA is filed under the name Mus musculus (house mouse). The record is from RNAcentral. Lineage: Eukaryota; Metazoa; Chordata; Mammalia; Rodentia; Muridae.